GACGAACGCUGGCGGCGUGCUUAACACAUGCAAGUCGAACGGAAAGGCCCUGCGUUUGUGGGGUGCUCGAGUGGCGAACGGGUGAGUAACACGUGAGUAACCUGCCCUUGAAUGUGGGAUAACUUCAGGGAACUGGGGCUAAUACAGGAUAGGAGCUCCUGAAGCAUGGGGGGGGAUGGAAAGAUUCGGCGGUUGGGGCUGGUAUCGCGGGUUAUCAGCUUGUUGGUGGGGUAGGUGCUGACCAAGGCUAUGAAGGGUAGGCGGCCUGGGAGGGUGGCCGGCCACCUUGCUCCUGCGGUACGGCCCAGUCUCCUACCUUCCGCAGCAGUGGGGAAUAUUGCGCAGUGGGCCGGCGCCUGAUGCAGCAGCCCCGCGUUCGUGAUGCCGUCCUUCUGGUUGUAAACCGCUUUCGCCUGUGCCGAAGCCUUCGUGACGGUACUUAGUCAGGAAGCCCCGGCUAACUACGUG
Molecule: ribosomal RNA, 468 nt
Filed under: uncultured bacterium
Lineage: Bacteria
Description: partial 16S ribosomal RNA
Rfam family: Bacterial small subunit ribosomal RNA
Source: RNAcentral